Molecule: ribosomal RNA, 657 nt
Filed under: uncultured Mycoplasmataceae bacterium
Lineage: Bacteria; Bacillati; Mycoplasmatota; Mollicutes; Mycoplasmatales; Mycoplasmataceae
Description: bacterial SSU rRNA
Rfam family: Bacterial small subunit ribosomal RNA
Source: RNAcentral
UCGAACGAGAAAUUUAUUUCUAGUGGCGAACGGGUGAGUAACGUAUUUCUAACGUACCCCGGAGAGAGGAAUAACUAUUGGAAACGAUAGCUAAUACCUCAUAGGAUGUUGGAGGGCAUCCUCUAAUGUUUAAAGGUGCGUUUGCACCACUCCGGGAUCGGGAAAUAUCACAUUAGCUUGUUGGUGGGGUAAUGGCCCACCAAGGCAAUGAUGUGUAGCCGAGCUGAGAGGUUGAUCGGCCACAAUGGGACUGAGACACGGCCCAUACUCCUACGGGAGGCAGCAGUAGGGAAUUUUCCACAAUGGACGAAAGUCUGAUGGAGCAAUGCCGCGUGAGGGAUGACGGUCUUCGGACUGUAAACCUCUGUUGUAAGGGAAGAAUAGCCUGUAUAGGAAAUGAUACAGGUCUGACGGUACCUUACCAGAAAGUCACGGCUAACUAUGUGCCAGCAGCCGCGGUAAUACAUAGGUGGCGAGCGUUAUCCGGAUUUAUUGGGCGUAAAGAGUGCACAGGUGGUUUGUCAAGUCAGGUGUUAAAGCCCGGGGCUCAACCCCGGUUCGCAUUUGAAACUGACAGACUAGAGUAUCGGUGGGGUUAGUAGAAUUCCAUGUGUAGCGGUGGAAUGCAUAAAUAUAUGGAGGAAUACCAGUGGCGAA